Molecule: ribosomal RNA, 329 nt
Filed under: Epiplatys annulatus (clown killifish)
Lineage: Eukaryota; Metazoa; Chordata; Actinopteri; Cyprinodontiformes; Nothobranchiidae
Description: partial 12S ribosomal RNA
Rfam family: Bacterial small subunit ribosomal RNA
Source: RNAcentral
CUCGCCAGGGGACUACAAGCGUAAGCUUAAAACCCAAAGGACUUGGCGGUGCUUUAGACCCCCCUAGAGGAGCCUGUUCUAGAACCGAUAAUCCCCGUUUAACCUCACCCUUUCUUGUUUAAUACUGCCUAUAUACCGCCGUCGUCAGCUUACCUUGCAAAAGAACAAUAGUAAACAAAAUCGGUUUUAUCCCAAAACGUCAGGUCGAGGUGUAGCGAAUGAAAGGGAAAGAAAUGGGCUACAUUUCCUGAUACAGGAAAUAACGGAAUAUUUACAAUGAAAAAGUAUAUGAAGGAGGAUUUAGCAGUAAAUGGAAAAUAGAGUGUUCC